Molecule: long non-coding RNA, 2852 nt
Organism: Pseudopipra pipra
Lineage: Eukaryota; Metazoa; Chordata; Aves; Passeriformes; Pipridae
Exons: 2
Source: RefSeq, a predicted model, not a curated record
UUUUUAGUUCUAUUAAAGUAUCUGAUACUUCUUUUUACUUUGAAAGGAAAAUUACUUCAAUGUUUCAGAUGCUUCAGACAGUAGAGUAUCUUGGGCUAUCAAAACAGAAUACAACAGUCAUGAUCAGAAACAUUUUACUUUAGCAUGUAAGCCAUUAUUUGUAUAAAAUCACUGAUAUUCUUAGGAUUUAACAGGCAUGUUUGGUGAAUUUAUUUGCAUCUUUCCAAUGUUUUAUGCAUUUCUUGUUCCAGUUUCAUCUCUGUUAUUUCUGUUCCCCUGUCUUUCUUGAAUUUAUGAUUAAUGUUUCUUUAGGCAACAAAACAAUACAUUCCAGACCAAGAGUUAUGCAAAGACAUAGCAAUUUUUUAGAAAUAAAACAAGUCAAUAAAAUACCAGUAUAUAACAAGUUUCCUCUCCACACAAGAGAUCUUUUAGGCAAAAGUUAUGCUUAGACCAAAAUAACAACUGUCCUAAAAGGAAACAAAAAUGGAACAGCAAGAGAUGUCUGUGGAAAAUUCCAGUCACUACCUGGAUCUGGAUACAAUUGCUAAAGAGGACAAAAGAACUAAUGGCAUGGAUUUAAUGGAUCAAGUUUCUCUUCUGCAGUUCGUCUCUUUAUUAAUGGCCCAUGAAAAGUGAAGACCAAGAGAUUUGCACCAAAGAGCUGCCAGAGACUAAACCAACCAUUACCUCUUGAAAGAUCGCAUCGUUGAUGCUUUAAAUUAAAACUUUAUUGCCAUUGUAAAAUGUCCGUGAGUUAUGAAAUAUAUGGUUUUCAGAGAGUGGUCAUUAUUUUUUCAGCUAAAGAAGGAGUGUCCUUUCCCCUUGGGAGCAGUGUGAAAUGGAGCCCUCUGUAGGUCUUCCUUAGCUGAGAUUCCUGGCCAAAGACUAUUCAACUUUUGCCAUCCACAUCUGGUUCUUUCUUUGUUCUAUUUGAAAGCAAUGAACCAAGCUUUGGGUCACAUCUGCAGGCCCUACUCUAACAGUGAAAUAAAAAGAACCAUAUUUAUUUAUGGAAGAAAGAUAAUAAUUUUCCAACUGAUCUAAGACAAAGAUGGGGUUUGUUUAGCCCGAAGUAAAGAAGACUCAGCGAGGACCUUAUCGCUCUGUACAGCUACCUGAACGAAUGUUAUAGGUGGGUGUUGGUCUUUUCUGCCAUGUAACAAGCAAUAGGACAAGAGGAAAUGGCAUCAAGCUGUGUCAGUUGAGGUUUAAAUUGGAUAUUAGGAAACAUUUCUUCACUUAAAGGGUGGUCAAGCACUGGAACAGGCUGCCCAGGGAAGUGAUGGAAUCAAUGUCCUCAGAAGUGUUCAAAAAACAUGUGAAUGUGGUGCUUAGGGACAGAGUUUAGUGGUGCAGUGCUGGCUUAAUGGUUAGAUUGGGUGAUCUCAGAGGUCUUUUCCAACCUUAAUGAUUCUAUGAUUCUAUGAUACUAUGGUUUAGUGGUGAAUAUGGCAGUAAUAGGUUAGUGGUUGGACUUGAUGGUCUUAAAGAUCUUUCCAACCCAAACAAUUCUGUGAUUCUCUGAUUCUAUGGUACAGCCUCCUCCUGCAUCUAGCACAGGAAUGCCUUGGGAAAAAACCUCCCCUGCCUCAGGCUGCUCUGCACCCACCUGAUUUACACCUGAAGGGCAAAUACUUUGAGACCUAUAUACCAGCAUGGCCCACAGGGAUUUGGAUCAGCUGGUUUUGGGGUACAAUUCACUAACAGGACUGUUAGUGGCUUAGUGACCACAGCUGGAUGGAGAAGCCAGACAGAUACCUGUGGAGAGCAUUGACUGCCUGUUCAACAACCAAAUGUUCUUUGUGUGAAGGAGAAGGUAAUAUUGUAAUGAAGAUUCAGAGGUUUGGAGCUCCGUACUGUGACUCAGGAGCAUUCAGGCUGUCAUGGGUUAAGAUUGGCCCCCCCUGAGAGUCGGGGGGCUCAGAGGGGAUUGGGUGCCAGGACAGUGUUCCCUGGAGAGCCAAUUACCACUCGUCUUGUUCGCUUCUGCUAAAAAUCACAUAUACACAGCUCCGGAAGCUGUUGGCAGUGUUUCUGUUGGUGUCUGCUGCGUGUAGGUGUAGAAGGCCAGGGGGUGGCUGGGCUCCUUCUCCCCCCCUCCGAGGGGGAAGGGGAGCCCUGCAGCCCCCCAACUCUGCCUAGGCCAGAGUUAGAGACAGCAUUGGAGUGAGUGAGUGUUUGUGAGGGACGCGACUCACAAACAACUGGUAAGCAAGAGAGAGAGAGAGGCCAGGCCCUCUUCUUCUUUCCCCCCCUUUUUGCAGCCAGGCUGCAGAAGGGGCUGUUUUUCCCUUUCACUGUUUAGUGGGAGUGGUGCAAGGCUCAGCAUUGAAGCAGAGCCAAAUGGACAGGCUGAUAAUGGAGCAGCUCGGCGCUAGGGAAAAGAAUCCCAGGCAAAAUUGGAGACAGGCCAAAGGGCUCGGGAGUUGCCCUACAGAGAUUUGACCGGGGGCAGCCGAAAACUGACUUGGAGGAAUGAAGAUUCCAAACGCCUACUGUGAUAAGCUACACUACAGCAGCAGUGAACCGAGGUAUGAGACUGAGAGGGAGAGAUCACACAGCAGAAAUGACACAGGACCAAGGAGAAAGGACUCAGAGCUACCUUCUUAGACUUGUGAAAAUUGGGUCACUUAUGAAGAGUCUUAGAGACUCCGUCUCACCUUCCUGUCCUGCUGGAGAUGGUUCAAACACAAAUCUCUCACCUUUCCUCCAUAUGAGAGGCUCAGCCACUGUGAUGCUGGUACAGGAGCUGGAGUGUGGUGUGAGUGGCCAGAAAGUGUCUGUUGUCUCUCUAACUGAAGCUGUUCCACUGAACAGAAAAACCUUCUCAAAUAAACAGAUCAACAAGA